RNAcentral lists this ribosomal RNA (515 nucleotides) under uncultured bacterium. RNAcentral describes it as "partial 16S ribosomal RNA". It matches the Rfam family "Bacterial small subunit ribosomal RNA", at positions 28 to 523 of the family's 1533-position model. The record is from RNAcentral.
GAUGAACGCUGGCGGCGUGCCUAAUACAUGCAAGUCGAGCGAAUGGAUUAAGAGCUUGCUCUUAUGAAGUUAGCGGCGGACGGGUGAGUAACACGUGGGUAACCUGCCCAUAAGACUGGGAUAACUCCGGGAAACCGGGGCUAAUACCGGAUAACAUUUUGAACCGCAUGGUUCGAAAUUGAAAGGCGGCUUCGGCUGUCACUUAUGGAUGGACCCGCGGCGCAUUAGCUAGUUGGUGAGGUAACGGCUCACCAAGGCAACGAUGCGUAGCCGACCUGGGAGGGUGAUCGGCCACACUGGGACUGAGACACGGCCCAGACUCCGACGGGAGGCAGCAGUAGGGAAUCUUCCGCAAUGGACGAAAGUCUGACGGAGCAACGCCGCGUGAGUGAUGAAGGCUUUCGGGUCGUAAAACUCUGUUGUUAGGGAAGAACAAGUGCUAGUUGAAUAAGCUGGCACCUUGACGGUACCUAACCAGAAAGCCACGGUUAACUACGUGCCAGCCGCCGCAGUAA